Non-coding RNA from Marmota flaviventris (yellow-bellied marmot), 5667 nucleotides. The record is from RefSeq and is a predicted model, not a curated record. NCBI's taxonomy places the organism in Eukaryota, Metazoa, Chordata, Mammalia, Rodentia, Sciuridae.
UAGAAAAUACUGUAUAUACACCAAUGUGCACACACAAUGCAGUUUUACUCAGCCAUAAAGAAGAAUGAAGUCAUAGAAUUUGUUUGCAAAUGCACAGAACUGGAAAACAUCAGGCUAAGUGAAAUAAGCCAGACUGGAUUUUUUUCUCCAUUAUGUAGAAGCUAGAGUAAUAUAAGGGCAAAAAGGGAGGCUUCCAUGAAAAGAGAAUGGAGAACUUUAGAGUGUAGGAAGGGCACUGGGUGGGGAAGGACAGGAAAAGGGAAGAACUGCUGAAUAUAAUUGAGCAGAUUAUGCUCUGUACACAUAUGAGCAUACCACAGUGAAUUUCACCUUUAUAUAUAAAGCACCAAAAAAUAGAUAUGAUAAAGACCAUUAGAGUAGAUAAAGCAACAGGGAAAAGGAAGGUAGGAAAAGAGGGUGUACUGGGGAUAUUCCAUGCAGUUAUGAUGGUGUCAAAAUGAACCACUAUUUUGUGUGACUAUAAUGCAUCCACAAAAACAUUUUUAAACAGAAAUUGAUUUUUCCCACAUAUUUUGCCCCUCAGAAAAACAUUGGAUUACUCAUCAGGCUCAUUCUAUUUAUCCAGAUGGUGCUUUCAGUGCAGAGGCCUCUGUGACCGGGACCUGUGCUGCAGGGAGGCGGCCAGCUCCUGAGAUAUGGGUCUGUGACUGUGACCUCACCUGUCCUGGGACCCGCAAUUUUCUCUGUGCCUGUAGCAGCCAGCUAGGGGAGCUGAGGACACUGUGGAAAACUUCCUCCCCAGGGAAUCCUGGAGUAUUGAGGAGGCUCUUACUUAUCCCUGAUCUCUUGAGGGCAGAUAGGAGGUCACAUGGAGAUGGCAGGGAAUCCUGAGGUCUGUCAUGGGAGGGACUGGCAGUAAGCUAUACCUAUCCGUUGCAUUCCUCACUUCCGUGUGACGUUUUCUACUCCAAAUAUAGUUAAGUUUUAUUCAUUUCUCCACACUGUUCAGUAGUGGCACCACCAUUUAGACUAUUACUAGGUGCAUAGCAUUUGAUAAAAUACCCGUUAAAGAUUUUAAAACACAGCAAGGGAAGAACAUGACGCUGAUAGAUCACCUUGGAAGUCAUUGUACUCAUCUGCCUAAUGCAAGUCAGUUAACUUCCCUCAUUUGCACAAUUUAUUGCCAACUAAUACCAAAAUUUUGUGGAUAAGUAUACCCAUACUGAUGUCAUCAGUGAACGAAGGGAGAAACACAACAAUAUUUGUUAAACAACACAGAAUGUUCCUUCACCAAGACAGCAGCAGGAUCAGAUGCUUCAACAGGCCAGACCUACCAUUUCUUUAAGUAUCAGAUCUGCCAGGGGGCCACUAACAUCAUCUCAGCAGCCUUAAGGGGUGACCACAGAAAAGAAGUCCUUCCUAUUUUUUGUAAUCCCUCCAACCCUGCAAGGACAAUUGUUAUAGUGAAUCAUCUUAAUAAAUGCUGUGAGGCUUACCAUUCAGGUCAAGUCCUGUGGCAGGAAAGUAGAAGGUUUGGGGCAGUGACAGUGCACGGGUGUGAUACAGAAGUGGUAAGCAAGAGGUCACAGAGAACCGGGGGACACAGGGACACGAUGGUGGUGAAGAUCAUGGGAUGCUAAGGAAAUACUGAGGGGGGAAACAGAGCAGGUAGAAGGGGAAACGGCAAAAGCUCGUCGAAUGUCCAGAAAGAGGUAUGGAUUGGGCAUACAGGGGGCAAAGAGCUAAGGGACGUUAGGGACAUGGUGCCUGCCAGUUAAUAGAGACAUGGGGUGUAUGAUUACAAGGGAAUGAAGGGGCUCCUGGGGAUGAGCAGAGAGCAAUGAUAAAGGUGAAGGUCACUGGCUGGAAAAAUUCAUAGAAUUAGUGUCUUUAAGGCAUUAAUAUCUACAGGUAGUGGGAGGCUUGUUAAUAUGCGUGGAGAAUGAUGUCCUGGAUAAAGUAGUUGUUCAAAUGGGCCUAGAGGGUGAGUCUGGGGAGAGAGAAUGCAUCUCAAGGGUGGGAAAUUAGGCACAGGGCAAUGAAGAAGCUGGGGAAAGAAGUGGGUUGAGAGAGGAACAGAGGCCGGGACAACCAAGAACAGUAGAAACAUCAGGAAAAAAAGGUUAAAACCUGUGACUUACGACUUCAGGAUGAAUGAAGAGGUACAGUUUUGACAACCAUGUGGUGUACUUACACUAUAAAGCACAUGAAAAGACAGCAAAAAAACCAGGGUAAGCCCUUGAUUUAGGACCAGGCACAUGGGAAAGAAAUAAUGUGGAGAGGUGUGCACCCAGGAGAGAGAUGGAGGACGAUGGGACCGGUUAAGAUUCACGUUCUCUUUUCUGUGACAGUUAAACCUGUUGUCUGAGUUUCCUCAUAUGUAACAAAAAUGUGUUUUCUUGCUGUAAUCUAAAAACUAAAUUUUAUAUUGUGAAGUAAGGUAGAGCCAUUUUCAAGUCACAAAAUCAUGUGGUUAAAUGUUGACAUGUUGAGCCCCCUAUCAAACCCCCUUUGUUCUCAGUCUUCCAAUUAUAAUGCCUCUGGUGUAGUCGGUGACCCAUUGUUAACUAUAGUCCUGCCCCAUCCACUCGCCAAUUUUAAAUUAGUCAAUCCUGUACAUUGUAACCUGAGCUCCUCCCAUCCAAGCUAGGGGCAGUGCUGCAUCUGGGAUAAAAACGUGGGCACACUUCCUGCCCAGUGCGCUAGCUUGCCAGAUUUGGGCGGGAGUAGCACACCCUUCUGUAGAAGUAACAUUUGCCUUGUCAAUUAACUUUUGAGCAGAUGACUGAUUUCUUGUUGCAUCCCAAUAUUUCUAACACUAUCACUUCACAGUUACCUGGUGUGUGGGUGGGGGCGGGUAAGGACAUUUAAGAGCUCUGCAGAUUCCAACUGCACAACACUGUCUUACUAACUACGGUCUCCACACUGUUCAGUAGAUCCCCAGGGUACAUUCAUGUUGUAAUGGAAUUUGGUGCACUUUGACCAUCCCCGCAAUGUCCCUCACUAACCACCACUUUACAACUCUCAUUCCACUCUGUUUCUGUGAAGGUGACUACUGUAGAUUCCACCUGAGAUCGUAGAGUGCUUGUGUUUAAUUAUUGUCACCUCACUUCCUCCAGGCUCAUUUAUGUCAGCACAGUGGCGGGAUUUCCCUGGUAGAAGGCUCAGUACCUUUCCCCUGAGUGUUGAUGGACACAGCACCUCACCUGCACACCUGCACACUCUGGUGGACACCACGUCUCACCUUGCUGCUGAUUGCCUGUCGUGAACAGUGCUGCAGUGAACCUGGAGGUGCAGGCGUCUUGUUGACUCUGAAUACUUUCCUUUAGAUGCACAGCAGGGAGUGGGAUUGCUGCCCACAGGUGAGUUUUACUCUACAUUUUCAGAGGCGUCCUCCUGCACUUUUCCAUGGUGGGGUGCAGGUUACCUGAUCUCCCACAUAAUCUGCCCAAGAUUGACUUGCCCCAUAUUCCUGCCAACACCGUUUUCUCAUAUUAACCAUCCCAACACUUGUGAGGUAAUAUCUCCUUGUAUUUUUGUGCACUUGCGUGAUUAUUAGACAGUAUGAGACCAAUUAAUGUAUCUUUCUCCUGCAUUGUCUUUUUUAGGAAAAAUAUCUACUAAAAUACUUUUUUUUAAUCAGAAAAGGCAUUUAUUAAAAUUUUAACAGGGAGUUCACAAAGGGACCACAGGAGGACCAGCUAGAAAUGGAUAGAAACGAGAGCAGCUCUUAGGAACACACAAGGAAAUAAGAGCAAGAAGAAACAAAAUAAGGGAAAUUAGAAAAAUUUGAAGUUCACUGCAGAUAGCUUUCGUUGACAAGUCCUUUGCAUACAAGUUCUCUUCUACUAAAAAGGAAGGAGAUGGACCGGAGGCCUUGUUUCCUCCCGGAAACACUGGAUAGUCGUCUAAAGACAACUGGGUAUGUGAGUCAUCCUGGUGUUUCGGAUGAUUAGAGGUGAAGUUAAACUCCCACAUUCUCAGGUCCGUGGAGGUGAUGCACCAACUGCUGAAAAAGCCUGAGCGGAUGGAGCCCAGCUGCACAAGGGCCGUGGCUUCGGAUUGAGCAGGGCUGUUUCCUCGGGUAACACGAGUCUUUACAAGUCAAUCCUGGAAGGAGGAAACAUACUGUUUAAGGCUCAGAAUCAUCACACCCUUCCUAUGCCACAGCCACACACACAGGCAGGACCUCAGCAUGUGGGAAGAUGGUCCCCAGCUGUCCACUGCACCAGGGACACCCAGGCAUAGUACAGUCCUGCAGAAAGGUGCACAGGAGACUUCUGUGACUCCAUUCUUUCGACCUCAUUUCCCUGCUGGUGAAGCACACACAGGCUGCAGCAGUGGGGAACUGGGCAGCACUGGGCUCCCAUUCAGGACACAGACUGGCCCUGACCAAUCUGAACGUCAGAGCAGCCCCCCUCACCUCUCCUGGGAUCUCAGGCUGAUCUCAGCCCUCAGGAUGGAGGACACAGAGCUGGUACUCAAUGCUGCACAGAAGAAAAUCAACAUCAACCUUAAGUAUUAUUAAGGAUGGGCACCAGCCUCACUCCAUCAGUACGAUGCCACUUAGUGGACAUAUUUAUUGCAAAGUACCUCAGCACUCUAAAGGCAGCCAGGGUUGAACAUGUACCAGAGGGGAAGGCCCAGCCCAUUGCCCAUGCCCUUCCAUCAUGAUGAGUACAUGGCCCAAAGCAGGUGGCAGCCCAUCAGGGGUUGGAACCCAUGAGUCUGAAACCGUGAGUCAAAACAAAUCUUUCCUCCUUGUUCUCAGGUGUUUUGUCACAGCAACAAACACAAUGAAUGACCUGGCAAAAUUGUUUAACCAUAUCUAUUAUCUACCAAACAUUUAAAACAAUAGUUUUCAUGGAACUACCAUACAAACGUUAGGUAACUUGUCUAAACAGUAUUUCAAAAACAUUUUCAACAAUCAUACUGUAGAAUGGGACCUACAGGUGCAUCAGGAAAUGCAAAUUUGACAUGACAAAAAUUGUAAGUUCCUCUAUGCCAACCAAGAGCCCAGAGAAUCAGGAGUAAACACUCAGGGUUGUGCUGGAGUCUGACCCAUUUUGAUGUUUAUUGUUGACACCUUUCAAGUCUCACUGCUCCCUUUCUAUGAUGCCAUCUGGGCAAGAUGCUGAUAAACCCUAAGUGUUCCCUUCUUCGGGCAGCAGCUGGGAGUUCUAAAGAUGACCAGGUUCCCUCACUCCAGCACCACCCAGGACCCCCAUAAGAGGAGGCAGCCACUUCUGGACAAGUGUAGCAAGUCCACCCUGCUUCCCUGGAAGGCCUCCUUAUGCUGUGAAGUCUGCAAACACUUCAGUGUUUGGCUUCGCCAUUCCUGACAAACCAGCCCAACUGGGUGGGGUUCGGCCCUGAGUUGGGACUGGUCAGAAGUGCAAACUAGCAAAAAUGUUAGGGGCAAAUACAUGAGUUUCCACUUCACAAACAAGAGAAAUUCCACCCUGGGUGUUCAUUCUGAAGUGGAAACUCAUGAACGUUGACCUUUUCAGUAUAUCUCUCUCACAAGCACUUUAAGAAUAAAAAGAUAUUUUUAUCCUUAUUCCCUGAAUUUUCUUAUGUUUCAUAUUCUUGCUGUAUUUCAAUUUUCACAUUUAUGUAAAUUAAGGUGAAUUCCAUGCAGUUUUGUUAAAAAAUGUAUCAUAAAUCUCAUGUAAUAAAAUUUAGUCUCUUUUUUAUUAUUACCAA